This 775-nucleotide ribosomal RNA is filed under the name uncultured Neocallimastigales. RNAcentral's name for it is "partial large subunit ribosomal RNA". It matches the Rfam family "Eukaryotic large subunit ribosomal RNA", at positions 24 to 647 of the family's 3401-position model. Lineage: Eukaryota; Fungi; Neocallimastigomycota; Neocallimastigomycetes; Neocallimastigales. The record is from RNAcentral.
GUAGUCUCGCACAGAUGCAUAUCAAUAAGCGGAGGAAAAGAAACUAACAAGGAUUCCCCUAGUAACGGCGAGUGAAGCGGGAAGAGCUCAAAUUUGAAAUCUUAAAGGGUUUCCCUUUACGAAUUGUAGUUUAAAGAAGUGUUUUCUGUUGAGGUUUUGGUAAAAGUUCUUUGGAAUAGGACAUCAUAGAGGGUGAGAAUCCCGUAUUUGACCUUUACUUUCAACUUUGUGAUACACUUUCAAAGAGUCGGAUUGUUUGGGAAUGCAGUCCAAAAUGGGUGGUAAAUUUCAUCUAAAGCUAAAUAUUGGCGAGAGACCGAUAGCGAACAAGUACCGUGAGGGAAAGAUGAAAAGAACUUUGAAAAGAGAGUUAAACAGGUACGUGAAAUUGUCAAAAGGGAAGCGUUUGACACCAGUGUUGUUUUUCUGAAAAUCAAUUAAAGAACUGUUUAUGCUAAGUUGUUUAGACUUUAUCAGCUAUCUGUUUAGUUUUGAGCUUUUCUUUAAUGCACUUUUCAGUUAACAAGUCAACAUCAAUUUCUUUUGCUGUAAAAAAGCUUGAGGAAGGUGGCUUGAGAUUCGUCUUAAGUGUUUAUAGCCUCUUGCCUAUGCAGUCGGAGAGAUUGAGGUCUGCAGCGUAGAUCCCUCGGGGCUAAAUGCAUUUGUGCUAAGUUAUAGCAUUUUAUAGACAACUUGUUGACUAUGAUUUGUCUUGUAGCUUACUCGCUUAUGUUAUUUUACCUACGCUUAGGAUGUUGACGCAUGAGAUAUACGC